GAUGAACGCUGGCGGCGUGCCUAAUACAUGCAAGUCGAGCGAACAGACGAUGAGCUUGCUCCUCUGACGUUAGCGGCUGACGGGUGAGUAACACGUGGAUAACCUACCUAUAAGACUGGGAUAACUUCGGGAAACCGGAGCUAAUACCGGAUAAUAUAUUGAACCGCAUGGUUCAAUAGUGAAUGACGGUUUUGCUGUCACUUAUAGAUGGAUCCGCGCUGCAUUAGCUAGUUGGUAAGGUAACGGCUUACCAAGGCGACGAUGCGUAGCCGACCUGAGAGGAUGAUCAGCCACACUGGAACUGAGACACGGUCCAGACUCCUACGGGAGGCAGCAGUGGGGAAUCUUGGGCAAAGGGCGAAAGCCUGACGGAGCAACACCGCGUGGGUGAUGAAGGUCUUCGGGUCGUAAAGCCCUGUUGUUGGGAAAGAAAAGAAGUAGGAGAAUCCAUGGCCGUCUUGACGGUACCUAAACAAAAAGCAACGGCUAACUUCGUG
This 497-nucleotide ribosomal RNA is filed under the name uncultured bacterium. RNAcentral describes it as "partial 16S ribosomal RNA". It matches the Rfam family "Bacterial small subunit ribosomal RNA", at positions 28 to 507 of the family's 1533-position model. The record is from RNAcentral.